AUGGCAAUGCCCACCUUCCACCUCGCCCCCGACCUGCCGCCCGUGUCCCGCCUCUGCCUCGGGACCAUGACGAUGGGGGAGCAAAGCGGGCCGCCGGAAUCGCUCCGCCUCCUCGACGCCGCCUUCGACGCCGGCGUCAACUUCUUCGACUCCGCCGAGAUGUACCCGGUGCCGCAGCGCGCGGAAACGCACGGGCGCAGCGAGGAGCUCGUCGGCCGGUGGCUGCGGGCCCGGCGGGUCCCCCGCGACAGCGUGGUGCUCGCCACCAAGGUCGCCGGGCCGUCUGGUCAGAUGACGUGGAUCCGUGGCGGGCCGGUGGCUCUCGACUCCAGGAACAUCACGGAAGCAAUCGAUACCAGUUUGCGCCGAUUGGGUGUGGAUUACAUCGACCUCUACCAGAUACAUUGGCCCGAUCGUUAUGUUCCUAUGUUUGGAGAGACGGACUACGAUCCGAGCCGUCAGUACGCGUCUAUACCCAUGGAAGAACAGCUAGAGGCGCUUGGAAAAGGCGUAGAGGCUGGAAAGAUCAGGUACAUUGGCCUUAGCAACGAAACAGCAUAUGGGUUGAUGAAGUUCCUUCAGCUGAGUAGGGAUUUUCAGCUGCGCUCCAAGAUACUAACAGUCCAAAACUCGUAUAACCUGCUGUGUCGCAAUUUUGAUGCUGGGUUGGCGGAAUGUUGCCAUCACGAGAGAAUCAGUUUGCUGGCCUACAGCCCAAUGGCAAUGGGUAUACUUUCAGGGAAGUAUCACUCAUCUGAUGACAGCGGACCGCCAGAUGCAAGGAUGAAUCUUUUCAAAGGAAGAUACUCCGAGGGUGAAUCCAGAUACAAUCUGCAGAACCCCAAGCUGGAAUCGGCAGUGAAGGAAUAUAGAAGAAUUGGCGUCAAGUAUGGCAUUUUGCCAUCAAUCCUAGCAGUUGCAUUUGUACUGAGACACCCCCUCGUGGGCUCAGCUGUUUUCGGUGCUACUAAAUUAUGGCAGCUCAAGGAAGUUCUUCAGGCCACAAGGGUCCAUCUCUGUGAAGAAAUUUUGGCGGAGAUCAAUGAUGUACAUGCAAGAUUUCCCGAUCCUUGUCCAUAA
RNAcentral lists this ribosomal RNA (1080 nucleotides) under Triticum aestivum (bread wheat). RNAcentral describes it as "partial small subunit ribosomal RNA". The record is from RNAcentral. Lineage: Eukaryota; Viridiplantae; Streptophyta; Magnoliopsida; Poales; Poaceae.